GCCGAGGUGAUGGAACGGUAGACAUGAUAGACUCAAAAUCUAUUGAUCGCAAGAUCAUGAGGGUUCGAUUCCCUCCCUCGGCA
RNAcentral lists this transfer RNA (83 nucleotides) under Candidatus Daviesbacteria bacterium. Its description in RNAcentral is "tRNA-Leu". It matches the Rfam family "tRNA". From Rfam's summary of the family: Transfer RNA (tRNA) molecules are approximately 80 nucleotides in length. Their secondary structure includes four short double-helical elements and three loops (D, anti-codon, and T loops). Lineage: Bacteria; Candidatus Daviesiibacteriota. The record is from RNAcentral.